This is a non-coding RNA of Acanthosepion pharaonis, 111 nucleotides long. The record is from the annotation of a GenBank genome assembly. NCBI's taxonomy places the organism in Eukaryota, Metazoa, Mollusca, Cephalopoda, Sepiida, Sepiidae.
CAGCUAUAUCAUAUUGAAACACCAUUUUCCGUAUGUUCUCCAAAGUUAAGCAACAUCGAGUCUGGUUAGUACCUAGAUGGGUGACUGUUUGGGAAUACUAGGUGCUGUAAG